This 721-nucleotide ribosomal RNA is filed under the name Staphylococcus aureus. Its description in RNAcentral is "partial 23S ribosomal RNA". It matches the Rfam family "Bacterial large subunit ribosomal RNA", at positions 1286 to 2003 of the family's 2925-position model. Lineage: Bacteria; Bacillati; Bacillota; Bacilli; Caryophanales; Staphylococcaceae. The record is from RNAcentral.
AAGUGAGAAUGCCGGUGUGAGUAGCGAAAGACGGGUGAGAAUCCCGUCCACCGAUUGACUAAGGUUUCCAGAGGAAGGCUCGUCCGCUCUGGGUUAGUCGGGUCCUAAGCUGAGGCCGACAGGCGUAGGCGAUGGAUAACAGGUUGAUAUUCCUGUACCACCUAUAAUCGUUUUAAUCGAUGGGGGGACGCAGUAGGAUAGGCGAAGCGUGCGAUUGGAUUGCACGUCUAAGCAGUAAGGCUGAGUAUUAGGCAAAUCCGGUACUCGUUAAGGCUGAGCUGUGAUGGGGAGAAGACAUUGUGUCUUCGAGUCGUUGAUUUCACACUGCCGAGAAAAGCCUCUAGAUAGAAAAUAGGUGCCCGUACCGCAAACCGACACAGGUAGUCAAGAUGAGAAUUCUAAGGUGAGCGAGCGAACUCUCGUUAAGGAACUCGGCAAAAUGACCCCGUAACUUCGGGAGAAGGGGUGCUCUUUAGGGUUAACGCCCAGAAGAGCCGCAGUGAAUAGGCCCAAGCGACUGUUUAUCAAAAACACAGGUCUCUGCUAAACCGUAAGGUGAUGUAUAGGGGCUGACGCCUGCCCGGUGCUGGAAGGUUAAGAGGAGUGGUUAGCUUCUGCGAAGCUACGAAUCGAAGCCCCAGUAAACGGCGGCCGUAACUAUAACGGUCCUAAGGUAGCGAAAUUCCUUGUCGGGUAAGUUCCGACCCGCACGAAAGGCGUA